Molecule: non-coding RNA, 158 nt
Organism: Pelobates cultripes (western spadefoot toad)
Lineage: Eukaryota; Metazoa; Chordata; Amphibia; Anura; Pelobatidae
Source: the annotation of a GenBank genome assembly
GCUGACACAUCCCUGCCAAUCUCCGGCAGACCCUCCCUCCCAGACCCUCCACCUCCUGGACAGCAUCCAUGUUGAAGCUGCCUUCAACAUGGAUGCUGUCCAGGAAGUAGGAGGGUCUGGGAGGGAGGGUCUGCUGGAGAUUGGCCGGGAUGUGUCAG